CCUACGGGAGGCAGCAGUGAGGAAUAUUGGUCAAUGGACGAGAGUCUGAACCAGCCAAGUAGCGUGAAGGAUGACUGCCCUAUGGGUUGUAAACUUCUUUUAUAAAGGAAUAAAACGAGGCACGUGUGCCUUGUUGCAUGUACUUUAUGAAUAAGAAUCGGCUAACUCCGUGCCAGCAGCCGCGGUAAUACGGAGGAUGCGAGCGUUAUCCGGAUUUAUUGGGUUUAAAGGGAGCGUAGAUGGGUUGUUAAGUCAGUUGUGAAAGUUUGCGGCUCAACCGUAAAAUUGCAAUUGAUACUGGCAGUCUUGAGUACAGGUGAGGUAGGCGGAAUUCGUGGUGUAGCGGUGAAAUGCUUAGAUAUCACGAAGAACCCCGAUUGCGAAGGCAGCUUACUAAACUGUGACUGACAUUGAUGCUCGAAAGUGUGGGUAUCAAACAGGAUUAGAUACCCCGGUAGUC
RNAcentral lists this ribosomal RNA (460 nucleotides) under uncultured bacterium. RNAcentral's name for it is "partial 16S ribosomal RNA". It matches the Rfam family "Bacterial small subunit ribosomal RNA", at positions 338 to 795 of the family's 1533-position model. The record is from RNAcentral.